GGUUCACCCCCAAGAGAAUCCAGACUCCUCCUUGCCCAGUGAAGGUUCUUGUAAGUGGAUUCAUACCACGUAGCUCCUCUGGAAGCAAGGUCAACACCCUCAAGGGAUGGAAUUCUGUGAGUCAAGAACCCAACAGGAGCUCAAAUGUGGAGUGUGAUGGAACAGAUUCUAAAAGGAAGAUGAGAAUCCUUAACUGUAUAUUUCCUAGAAAAUUUUUGAUAAGAAAUACUUGGAAGGCUGAGGUAAAUGAAGCAUCAUAGUUUCGAGGUCAGCCCAAACUAACACAGGAAAAUCCUGUCUCAAAACAUCGGAAAAAAGAGCCUGGCAGUUGUGGUGCACACCUUUUGUCCCAGCACUCAGGAGGCAGAGGCAGGUCCCGAGCCUUCACUCAGUAUCUGAUGGAAGCAGAAGCAGACACCCACAACAAAACACUGAGCCGAACUCCUGGAAUACAGUUGUUGAGAGGGAGGAGUGACGAACAAAGACAGGGUUUCUCUGUAUAGCUUUGGAGCCUAUCCUGGCACUUGCUCUGGAGACCAGGCUGGCCUGGAACUCACAGAGAUCCACCUGCCUCUGCUUCCGGAGUGCUGGGAUUAAAGGCAUGCACCACCAGCGCCCAGCUUGAUUGUUUCUAGUUUAAAUUUAAAAAAAGAAAGAAAACUGUAUUUUAUUGGUGAUGAGGUGGUCGAGUGGUUAAGGUGAUGGACUACUAAAAUGGAUUUUAUUAUUUAAUGUGCAUGAGUAUUUUGCCUGUGAGUACGUCUAUGCAUAAUGUAUGUUCUUGGCACAUAGGAAGGCCAGAAGAGGCUUAUUCCACCAUAUGGCUUCCAGAAAUCUGAGGUCAUCAGGCUUAGCAGCAAGCACCUUUACCCACUGAGCCAUCUUACCUGUCCUAUUUUAUUUCAUUUCAGCAUUGACAGUGGAACUCAGGGCCCUGUGCAUGCUAGGCAAGUGCUUUAUCACAAGAUAUAUGGCGCCUUAUCUAUUUUAAAAUCCUAUUGAAAUGAGUAUGUCUCCUUCGCUUUUGACACCACACGGUGACAUUUCAUAUUGGGUAUUCCUUUUAGUUAGUGUAAACAUUAAGUCCCAGUUGUAUAGUUAUAGAUGAAGGAAAACAUGUUCAGACUGAAGCUUCCCUUCCACAUUUUAUAUUGUGUAAACACUAGGAAUUAAUCCAUUUCUGCUGCCCACCACCAUAUGUUUUCCUCGUCACUUACGGUCUUUCCUGGAAUUCUGUGCACAUCAGAGUAUAAGUCAUACAAGAACUAGAGGUGAGAGCACUGGCUUGAGUCCCAGUUUACCAAGCACAUGCUGCUGAAAGCACAACAGUGGGCAGAGGACUGUGACAGCUCGCUCUCUGAAGUCGGUGUGUAUGGAAAUGUCUAGACUAAUUCUGUUGUUGAUGUCUCUCCUUGAUGUGUUGAGUCAUAAAGAUUAUAGUUGAAAUUGGAAUCAUUGCUUCUGGAUUUAAAAACAACUACUCGGGAAGCUGUUGAACUCGGUGAGUUUGAGAACAGCCUGGUCUACAGAGUGAGUUCCAGGACAGCCGGGGCUACACAGCGAAACCCUGUUUUGAAGAGAAAAAAAGAUUAGAGUGAGUCAUCCAUCUGCGUCUCCAGCCACUUCUCCAUGGCUUUGACAGGAUCCCAGAACCGAAACAGCAGAGUCACCAUGGACACAAAUGACUGAUGAUCCAAAUGCAAGCCCAGGAGCCUGAAAUCAUUUCUCUUUGAAAAGAAGGAUCCGGACCUGUUACUCCUUUGGCGGCUACAUGGAGACUGUUUCGGACCCUCUUCUGCCUACCUUUCCCAGAAUUCACCUCAUCUCCUAGUCCCACCUAUCUUCCUGCCUCAUUGGCUGAACAGUGUUUUAUUCAUUAACCAAUAAGAGAAACAUAUACAGGACAUCCCCCAUCAAGAAACUGGCUGGAAAUGCCAGGCGUGAUGACAUACACCUGUAAGCCUAGCACAUGGGAGGCUGAGGUACAAUAGAGAACCACAAGUUCCAGGCCAGCCUGAGCUAAAGAAUGAAGGCCUGUCUCAAAAAAAGGAACGGGAACUACAAAACAGCUCAGUGGUAGAAAGCUUGUGUAGUGUGUGAAAGGUCACAGAUUCAAUCCCAGGUUCAUAGUUGUUUAUUUUCAAAAAAUUAAAAUUGGGGCUGCCUUGCAUAAAACUGUAUGUGGUAUCCCAUGCCUGUAAUUCUAGCACUUGGAGGGUGGAGACAGGAGGAUCAGAAAUCCAUUAUUCUAAA
This 2253-nucleotide long non-coding RNA is filed under the name Cricetulus griseus (Chinese hamster). Its description in RNAcentral is "lncRNA (ENSCGRG00015003594.2)". Lineage: Eukaryota; Metazoa; Chordata; Mammalia; Rodentia; Cricetidae. The record is from RNAcentral.